Molecule: ribosomal RNA, 482 nt
Filed under: uncultured bacterium
Lineage: Bacteria
Description: partial 16S ribosomal RNA
Rfam family: Bacterial small subunit ribosomal RNA
Source: RNAcentral
ACGAACGCUGGCGGCGUGCUUAACCCAUGCAAGUCGAACGCUGAAGCUCAGCUUUUGUUGGGUGGAUGAGUGGCGAACGGGUGAGUAACACGUGAGUAACCUGCCCCCUUCUUUGGGAUAACGCCCGGAAACGGGUGCUAAUACUGGAUAUUCACUGGUCUUCGCAUGGGGGUUGGUGGAAAGGGUUUUUCUGGUGGGGGAUGGGCUCGCGGCCUAUCAGCUUGUUGGUGGGGUGAUGGCCUACCAAGGCUUUGACGGGUAGCCGGCCUGAGAGGGUGACCGGUCACAUUGGGACUGAGAUACGGCCCAGACUCCGACGGGAGGCAGCAGUGGGGAAUAUUGCACAAUGGGCGCAAGCCUGAUGCAGCGACGCCGCGUGAGGGAUGGAGGCCUUCGGGUUGUGAACCUCUUUCGCUCAUGGUCAAGCCGCAACAAUGGUUGUGGUGAGGGUAGUGGGUAAAGAAGCGCCGGCUAACUACGUG